This 920-nucleotide ribosomal RNA is filed under the name uncultured bacterium. Its description in RNAcentral is "bacterial SSU rRNA". It matches the Rfam family "Bacterial small subunit ribosomal RNA", at positions 33 to 935 of the family's 1533-position model. The record is from RNAcentral.
ACGCUGGCGGCGUGCCUAAUACAUGCAAGUAGAACGCUGAAGAGAGGAGCUUGCUCUUCUUGGAUGAGUUGCGAACGGGUGAGUAACGCGUAGGUAACCUGCCUUGUAGCGGGGGAUAACUAUUGGAAACGAUAGCUAAUACCGCAUAACAAUGGAUGACACAUGUCAUUUAUUUGAAAGGGGCAAUUGCUCCACUACAAGAUGGACCUGCGUUGUAUUAGCUAGUAGGUGAGGUAACGGCUCACCUAGGCGACGAUACAUAGCCGACCUGAGAGGGUGAUCGGCCACACUGGGACUGAGACACGGCCCAGACUCCUACGGGAGGCAGCAGUAGGGAAUCUUCGGCAAUGGGGGCAACCCUGACCGAGCAACGCCGCGUGAGUGAAGAAGGUUUUCGGAUCGUAAAGCUCUGUUGUAAGUCAAGAACGAGUGUGAGAGUGGAAAGUUCACACUGUGACGGUAGCUUACCAGAAAGGGACGGCUAACUACGUGCCAGCAGCCGCGGUAAUACGUAGGUCCCGAGCGUUGUCCGGAUUUAUUGGGCGUAAAGCGAGCGCAGGCGGUUUGAUAAGUCUGAAGUUAAAGGCUGUGGCUCAACCAUAGUUCGCUUUGGAAACUGUCAAACUUGAGUGCAGAAGGGGAGAGUGGAAUUCCAUGUGUAGCGGUGAAAUGCGUAGAUAUAUGGAGGAACACCGGUGGCGAAAGCGGCUCUCUGGUCUGUAACUGACGCUGAGGCUCGAAAGCGUGGGGAGCGAACAGGAUUAGAUACCCUGGUAGUCCACGCCGUAAACGAUGAGUGCUAGGUGUUGGAUCCUUUCCGGGAUUCAGUGCCGCAGCUAACGCAUUAAGCACUCCGCCUGGGGAGUACGACCGCAAGGUUGAAACUCAAAGGAAUUGACGGGGGCCCGCACAAGCGGUGG